UACAUUUUGGUGGCGCAGUAUCCUAGUCGGAUCUGCCGGUACUGAAGAAGGGCCUAAAAAUCCUUUAUAGGGCAUAUCGAUGAAGUCCCUGGUGCUUGCUUGUUACGCCCAGUUUCGGGUGGGUGCUGGGGGUUAAGGUUAUUGGGCGCGCUGCAAUGGCAUGCGGCUUCCGACCCAAUUUCCGCGGAGACCUGAUCUUGUGCGACGCCGGCCUCGUCGGCACACCGCCUUCCCGGCGCGUACGAAUCUGGAGAUGAACCUGCAGCUCGGUGCACAGAAUCGUGUGCUGGGUGCAGCGUAGCCUGCCUUGCGUGGAUGUCCCGGGAUCGGGAAGCUAUGCAUCGGAGCCUAUGGCCAUAGGGGACGGUGAUAUUUCCGUGAAAGGGCAUCUGCAAAAGAGGAUAGGUACCGGCGGAAGCCGUCGUGGAAAUCACCUAGGCUGUCGAGAGGGCAGGCAGGGGAUUGCAGUACGGACUCAGUGGCAAUCGGGUACCGGCGUCGGCAACGCGCCGGUGGAGGGAUGAAAAGGAAACUGCCCGGCCGGCAACGGCGGGUUUCCUCCAGGGAAAGCCAACCCGACCUAAGCCGUAAGAUUUACCCUUCCUGCCGCCAC
RNAcentral lists this small RNA (613 nucleotides) under bovine gut metagenome. The record is from RNAcentral.